This 403-nucleotide ribosomal RNA is filed under the name uncultured bacterium. RNAcentral's name for it is "partial 16S ribosomal RNA". It matches the Rfam family "Bacterial small subunit ribosomal RNA", at positions 28 to 526 of the family's 1533-position model. The record is from RNAcentral.
GACGAACGCUGGCGGCGUGCCUAAUACAUGCAAGUCGAACGCAGUGGGGACAGGUGAGUACAACGUGGGUAACCUCCCAUCAGAGGGGAUAACACUUGGAUACUGGUGCUAAACCGAUACUGAUGGAUGGACCCGGGGUGCAUUAGCUAGUGGGGGGGGAAACUGCUCACCAAGGCCACGAUGCAUAGCCGCCCUGAGAGUGUGAUCGGCCACACUGGGACUGAGACACGGCCCAGACUCCUACGGGAGGCAGCAGUAGGGAAUCUUCGGCAAUGGGCGAAAGUCUGACCGAGCAACGCCGCGUGAGUGAAGAAGGUUUUCGGAUCGUAAAACUCUGUUGUUAGAGAAGCGGUAUCUAACCAGAAAGCCACGGCUAACUACGUGCCAGCAGCCGCGGUAAUUC